UACUGUGGUGGUUUCUGGUUUUGGCAGAUCUGUAAGUGUAUCAGAGCUGUAGCAGAACUACCACAGAGAUCAGAAAGGAGAAGGCUGUGCUGAGAACUUCAGGCUUUCAGUUUUCAGCUCUUUGCUCAGCUCCUACAGAA
This 140-nucleotide small nucleolar RNA is filed under the name Acanthisitta chloris (rifleman). RNAcentral describes it as "Small nucleolar RNA SNORA12". It matches the Rfam family "Small nucleolar RNA SNORA12". From Rfam's summary of the family: U108 belongs to the H/ACA family of snoRNAs. The sequence is predicted to guide the pseudouridylation of the U372 residue in the 28S rRNA subunit. The record is from Rfam by way of RNAcentral. Lineage: Eukaryota; Metazoa; Chordata; Aves; Passeriformes; Acanthisittidae.